This is a non-coding RNA of Pimephales promelas (fathead minnow), 457 nucleotides long. The record is from RefSeq and is a predicted model, not a curated record. NCBI's taxonomy places the organism in Eukaryota, Metazoa, Chordata, Actinopteri, Cypriniformes, Leuciscidae.
GGUUGUCUCAACGGGUUGUCUUUUAGCGCUAUUUUUUGAAUGUGCGCUGUGCUUUUGUUGUCUGAAGAGUUUGAAUUGUUUUGUCCGUAUUGUGCCAAACAACUGGGGGACGCUCCCAAGUUUUGCCCGUCGUGUGGUCUGAACGUGGGGUUCCUUACGGAUUGUCCAUCCACGUCAUCAAGCCUAGGCCGUGGGCCUACAGAAUCACAACAUGUGGCAGACAGUUCCUGGUAGAAAUUCCUCGUCCUCUUUCUCAAAACUCUUCUUUGUGGCUCUCAACUGGUCGGACUUGCUUGCAAAACAGAGAUGGAUGGCAACUUGGAAAAGGUUGCAUAAUAUCCCUUCAUUCUCAAAACCCAUGGAAAUUUAGCUACACAAGGUAAGUUUUUUUUUAUGGAUAAUUCUGUUUAGUUUUGUAGGAUUGACAGUUUUAGUACUGUUUUGGACUUCCAUUUGA